This 1387-nucleotide ribosomal RNA is filed under the name Microbacterium oleivorans. RNAcentral describes it as "bacterial SSU rRNA". Lineage: Bacteria; Bacillati; Actinomycetota; Actinomycetes; Micrococcales; Microbacteriaceae. The record is from RNAcentral.
AAUGCAAGUCGAACGGUGAAGCAGAGCUUGCUCUGUGGAUCAGUGGCGAACGGGUGAGUAACACGUGAGCAACCUGCCCCUGACUCUGGGAUAAGCGCUGGAAACGGCGUCUAAUACUGGAUAUGAGCUGCGACCGCAUGGUCAGCAGUUGGAAAGAUUUUUCGGUCUGGGAUGGGCUCACGGCCUAUCAGCUUGUUGGUGAGGUAAUGGCUCACCAAGGCGUCGACGGGUAGCCGGCCUGAGAGGGUGACCGGCCACACUGGGACUGAGACACGGCCCAGACUCCUACGGGAGGCAGCAGUGGGGAAUAUUGCACAAUGGGCGAAAGCCUGAUGCAGCAACGCCGCGUGAGGGAUGACGGCCUUCGGGUUGUAAACCUCUUUUAGCAGGGAAGAAGCGAAAGUGACGGUACCUGCAGAAAAAGCGCCGGCUAACUACGUGCCAGCAGCCGCGGUAAUACGUAGGGCGCAAGCGUUAUCCGGAAUUAUUGGGCGUAAAGAGCUCGUAGGCGGUUUGUCGCGUCUGCUGUGAAAUCCCGAGGCUCAACCUCGGGUCUGCAGUGGGUACGGGCAGACUAGAGUGCGGUAGGGGAGAUUGGAAUUCCUGGUGUAGCGGUGGAAUGCGCAGAUAUCAGGAGGAACACCGAUGGCGAAGGCAGAUCUCUGGGCCGUUACUGACGCUGAGGAGCGAAAGGGUGGGGAGCAAACAGGCUUAGAUACCCUGGUAGUCCACCCCGUAAACGUUGGGAACUAGUUGUGGGGUCCAUUCCACGGAUUCCGUGACGCAGCUAACGCAUUAAGUUCCCCGCCUGGGGAGUACGGCCGCAAGGCUAAAACUCARAGGAAUUGACGGGGACCCGCACAAGCGGCGGAGCAUGCGGAUUAAUUCGAUGCAACGCGAAGAACCUUACCAAGGCUUGACAUAUACGAGAACGGGCCAGAAAUGGUCAACUCUUUGGACACUCGUAAACAGGUGGUGCAUGGUUGUCGUCAGCUCGUGUCGUGAGAUGUUGGGUUAAGUCCCGCAACGAGCGCAACCCUCGUUCUAUGUUGCCAGCACGUAAUGGUGGGAACUCAUGGGAUACUGCCGGGGUCAACUCGGAGGAAGGUGGGGAUGACGUCAAAUCAUCAUGCCCCUUAUGUCUUGGGCUUCACGCAUGCUACAAUGGCCGGUACAAAGGGCUGCAAUACCGCGAGGUGGAGCGAAUCCCAAAAAGCCGGUCCCAGUUCGGAUUGAGGUCUGCAACUCGACCUCAUGAAGUCGGAGUCGCUAGUAAUCGCAGAUCAGCAACGCUGCGGUGAAUACGUUCCCGGGUCUUGUACACACCGCCCGUCAAGUCAUGAAAGUCGGUAACACCUGAAGCCGGUGGCCCAACCCUUUGGAGGGU